This is a small nuclear RNA of Jaculus jaculus (lesser Egyptian jerboa), 107 nucleotides long. The record is from Ensembl. NCBI's taxonomy places the organism in Eukaryota, Metazoa, Chordata, Mammalia, Rodentia, Dipodidae.
GUGCUCGCUUCAGCAGCACAUAUACUAAAAUUGGAACAAUACAGAGAAAAUUAGCAUGGUCCCCGCGCAAGGAUGUCACUCAAAUUCGUGACACAUUCCAUGCUUUU